RNAcentral lists this transfer RNA (93 nucleotides) under Thermoprotei archaeon. RNAcentral's name for it is "tRNA-Lys". It matches the Rfam family "tRNA". From Rfam's summary of the family: Transfer RNA (tRNA) molecules are approximately 80 nucleotides in length. Their secondary structure includes four short double-helical elements and three loops (D, anti-codon, and T loops). RNAcentral also lists the same sequence under 1 other name. The record is from RNAcentral. Lineage: Archaea; Thermoproteati; Thermoproteota; Thermoprotei.
GGGCCGGUAGCUCAGCACGGUUAGAGCGCGAGCGGCCAAAGCACCCGGCUUUUAACCGGGGGGUCGCGGGUUCGAAUCCCGCCCGGCCCGCCA